UAAAGGACUCUCCUACCUGGCCCACCUA
RNAcentral lists this non-coding RNA (28 nucleotides) under Mus musculus (house mouse). The record is from RNAcentral. Lineage: Eukaryota; Metazoa; Chordata; Mammalia; Rodentia; Muridae.